CCUACGGGCGGCAGCAGUGAGGAAUAUUCGUCAAUGGACGAGAGUCUGAACCAGCCAAGCAGCGUGAAGGAUGACUGCCCUAUGGGUUGUAAACUUCUUUUAUAUGGGAAUAAAAUGUUCCACGUGUGGGAUUUUGUAUGUACCAUAUGAAUACGGAUCGGCUAACUCCGUGCCAGCAGCCGCGGUAAUACGGAGGAUCCGUGCGUUAUCCGGAUUUAUUGGGGUUAAAGGGAGCGUAGGUUGAUUGUUAAGUCAGUUGUGAAAGUUUGGGGCUCAACCGUAAAAUUGCAGUUGAAACUGGCAGUCUUGAGUACGGUAGAGGUGAGCGGAAUUCGUGGUGUAGCGGUGAAAUGCUUUGAUAUAACGAAGAACUCCGAUUGCGAAGGCAGUUCACUGGACUUCAACUGACACUGAGGCUCGAAAGUGUGGGUAUCAAACAGGAUUAGAUACCCCAGUAGUC
Molecule: ribosomal RNA, 460 nt
Filed under: uncultured bacterium
Lineage: Bacteria
Description: partial 16S ribosomal RNA
Rfam family: Bacterial small subunit ribosomal RNA
Source: RNAcentral